Long non-coding RNA from Solanum lycopersicum (tomato), 1058 nucleotides. RefSeq lists it as uncharacterized. The record is from RefSeq and is a predicted model, not a curated record. Lineage: Eukaryota; Viridiplantae; Streptophyta; Magnoliopsida; Solanales; Solanaceae.
AUGAUAAUACAAAUAUUUUUAUGUUAUUAUCAUGAUACGAAUGUGUUGGCUUUAUUUAAUUUUUAUCACCAUUGUUUGUACCCUCACUGUUGGAUUCAAUUAUUAUAUCAUAUACUAAUAUAUUAAUAUUACAAAACCAGCCUAAAAGUGCUGGAACCUUUAAACACAUGUAUAUUUAAAGAAGAUUCUAAUUGGAUAAUAAUUAUUAAACUUUAGUAUUUUCUUUUCCAAAAUAACAUAUAGUAUUUAGACAAACUAUAACUACACAAAAAUAAAAAAAUUCUCAUGUCUUCUUGAGCAAAUAUAAAUUUACUAAUAUGCUUGUAUCAUUGCAAGGAAUUUAGUUUUUCUUGAUUUUCGUGUAACUAUAACAAUGAAUUUAGUUUUUCUUAAUUUUCAUGUAACAAUAACAUUUCUCACUUUUGCAAUUUGGAUAUUUGGCUAAAUAUAAAUUGUAAUUUAUUUAAUGGUAAGACUGAUUUCCCUUCGUCUUCAUUAGUUAGGUGAAAAGUCAUAGAAUACAUUACCCCAAUAUCUAGAAAUCCGGAAGCCUCCUUAAACAUCAAUAUCUGUUGGUUCUUUCCUAUUCAAGGGACUUAUAAAUUGAAUACAGAUGGAUCUUAUUCAGAGCAAACAUGUACAGGUGGCAUUGGAGGUAUAAUUUGUGACUCUCAGGGGUGGGUGAUUGGCUUUCAAAAAAGUGUACAAUGUCUAAACCAUAAUUUUUCUGAGACUGAAGCCCUUCUUAACGAUCAAUGUUGAAGAAGUUGGGGAAUCCGAAAAUCCGUCACAACUUUCGUGAAGCAAACAUGAUAGCUGAUAUUUUGUCUAAGAUGGGUGCUAAGCUAACAAUGUCUAAUCAAAUAUCUUACGAUCUCCUCCAGAAGCUAUAAAGGAUUACCUUGCGGCUGACCUUGGUGGAGUACUAUCUAAAAAGCUAAUAUUAUGAUUUAUGUGUAAUAUGUUAGUCUGUUUUGGUAACCUACUUAAUAGUACUAGUUCGGAUGUAAUAAUCAACUAAUUAUAUAUUAUUAUAUAUAUGAGUUAUAUUUUUUGUU